Molecule: long non-coding RNA, 6926 nt
Filed under: Homo sapiens (human)
Lineage: Eukaryota; Metazoa; Chordata; Mammalia; Primates; Hominidae
Description: HSALNT0065242
Source: RNAcentral
AUGGAGUCUUGCUUUGUCAUCCAGGCUGGAGUGUAAUGAUGGAAUCUCGGCUCACUGCAACCUCUGCCUCCCAGGUUCAAGCGAUUACCAGGCCUCAGCCUCCUGAGUAGCUGGGGUUACAGUUAAGAGAACUGGAGACACAAAAAAGCUAAGUGAAUUAUGCAAAGCCACCCAGCUAGAAGUGACUUUCUUCAGAGGAAGUUCUUGGAAUUCCUGUGCCACCAUAAGAGUUACUCACCUGCUGGAUUUUUAUGAGAAGAGAGCACCUCCUGAAACUAGAGUUAUGAAAACACAUACUUUGCAAAAGAUUUCAGUGGAAAUCAUGAUGUGACUUGGUCCUUGCCUUCCGCCAUGAAUGUGACGCCUCCCAGCCCUGUGGAACUAAAAGAAUAAUCAAGUUACUUCAGCUCUGGUAUCAAGCAAACUUCUCCCGGUAGGCUUCAGGAAGUUUGCUGAUCCUAUCAGCUCAGGAGCAGCUAAGUUCACAGGAAGGACAAUUCUGAAAGCUGGUGAAGACAUUGCCAUCAGACUCAUCUGCUUGUCAUGAAAUCGCAACAGCCACCCCAGCCUUCGGUAGCCACCACCCUGAUUAGUCAGCAGCCAUCAGCUGAUAUCAAGAGCACAUUAAAUGUUAACACUGCGACUUGCAAGGACCCCCAGCUGGUGGAUCCCUGAGGACAAGGACAGAAGUUCACCAUGCACGGCCACUCUGCUUUUGUGCAACAGGUGUGUGUUCCAGGCCUGUCAUGGAUGUUUUUCCAUAGCUAGUCACCUUCCCUGCAAAACAGAGGGUGGUCCUCAAGGAGAGCAGGAUGUCUUCUGGAGCAGAGUCUUCCAAAGAGCACAGGAGACCAGGGGCUCCUUGAGGGGAAGCAACUUUGCCUUAUUCUUAUUUGUGUCUUUCAGCAUCUGGCACAAUAAAUGCUUGUCUCUUGAUAUUUGUCAAGAUGGGUAAACAGACGCUCUUUAUUGUCAUAUCAUCUGUUUCCUUAAGUUUGGUAUCUGAGUGACAGUAAUAAUGACUAACAUUUAUGGAGCUCUUGCCAGUUGCUUUACUGGUGGUACCUGUUAUGGUCUGACUGUUUAUGUCCUCCCCCAAAUUCCCAUGUCAAUGCCCUAACUCCCAAUGCAAUGGUAUAAAGAGGCAGGGCCUCUGGGAGGUAAUAAGGUUUACAUGAUGCCCUCACGAUGAGAUUGGUGCCCUUAUAAAAUGAGACCAGAGCUCGCUCUCUCUCUCUCCUCUCUGUCCUGCCAUGUGAGGAUACAGCAGGAAGAUGGCCAUGUGCAAGCUAGGAAGAAGACAGAACUCACCAGGGACUGAAGUGGCCAGUACUUUGAUCUUGGACUUCAAGCCUCCAGAUCUGUGAGAAAUAAAUUUUUGUUGUUUAAGCAACCCAGUCUGUGGUGUUUUGUUGCAGCAGCCGAAGUGAACUAAGACAAUACCCUAUGAGCUAAUACCAUUUUAGCAGUGAAGAAACUGAGGCUCAGGGAGCUUAGCAACUUUCUCAAAGUUUCUGUGUGCUAAGCUGUUUCCCUGCCCCUUUCUGUCUGAGGGGAAAUUGAAAUAUAAAGCAACAACCUGUUGCAGAAAUAUUUGAGUAAACAAACUUCAGAAAGAGUGUUAGAACCCAAACUAGCUUUCAAGUAGAAAAAUCAAGGUAUUCCUGGGUGCUGUUAGUGUGAAAAUACAGGAAAUGUCAUUGGACCCAUAGGUGGGAAUUAUGGGCAGGUCUCAUAGAACAGGCACCUAGAAGGUAGUCGGUAAUCAAGAAAACAUUUCUUUCCACGAGGCUGCACGAUCCCCCUCAUCUCUGUGUGUCUCUCAUCCUUUAUCGGCCUGCUUCCCUCUUCACCUGAUUCCUCUGCUUGUUCUUUUGGGGUGCAGCCCUACAAGGAACACCAACCUACAUUCUGCUUGUCUCCACUGAUCUGCUCUGUCUUUGAGUAUUUCCAGUUCUAGAAAUUGGUAGAAAGCCAGCUCAUAUGAGUGAGACCGCAUGUACCACAGGCGGCUGGCCAGCUACUUCUCUGGUUCCUUGUCAAAACUGUUGCAUACAUGUAGCUCAAUCUAUGAUCAUCUCUGCACAAACAAACAAACAAACAAACAAACAAAACCCAGCCCUGCACCCUUUCUGUGAAUGGGAAGCAAUGUACAGAACAUAUUAAGCCAAGAGGUAGGUAAGGCAGAAAAUUGAAAGAUGAUAUCUGUUAUUGAUUUGGUAUGAGUUAAAGGUACAUGGUUCUGUUUUAGAUAUUUUAUAAUAAUAAAAAUGAAAAAAGAGAAAGGAAUUGCCCCACAAUUACGUUUUCAAAAUAUGUUUAUUUUUUCCCCUAAUUUUUCUUGAGGUUAUUUAGAUAUUUCUUGACAAAUCUUCAUGGUAACAUAUGUGAAAGCAGACAUGUUUAUUUUCUUUGAUUUGGUGGAAUGAAUUAUCAAAAUUCUGGUUUUUAACAUUGUUAAAACUUCUGAGUAAAAAAUUUCUAACAAAUGAAGUGUUAAUACCAAAAAAAGAGUGUUAGCUAUGAGUGGUAUGUAAAUAAGUUGUCAAAUAUCAUCAAUAAUAAUUCUGAUCACCAUUUUCUUGGGUUUAUUAUAAUAAGACAAAUGUUGCUCCCAAAGAAACUGCUGAUUCUGGGGCAGGGACAAGAGCUCACCAAGAAAUCCAGCUACCAAAAUAUUUUGCCUGGUCACCCGGCCACAGGGGCUGAUGGCCAAAUCACAGACUUGAAACCUAAUGGCUGUGAGUGCACAUCAACGUGUUCAUCUGUCUGGUAUUAUUAUGUAGUUUUUGGAAAGCCGUGAUCUCUACGUCAGAUUGUUUUUUGCAAAAUAAGAAAUAAUACUGGGGUCUUGCCUCAAAAAAAGCAGUGAAGAUCAGCUCAUAGAAAUGUUUGAAAUCUAGGUAGUACUGCAGAUUUGUGGACGCUAGAGAAUGACUGUAAGAAGUGAUCUUAGGCGGGAAAAGCCCACUGUUAGGUCUUGGCUCAUGCUCCGCGUUGCCAAUUCCCAGCCUUGCAAUUUUGGACAGGUUAUUUAAUCUGUAAGUGUGCUUCCAUUUCAUCACAUAUAAAACAGAAAUAUGAAAACCUGCCUUUGAGCAUUUUCAUGGGGAUUAAAUGAGAUAAGUUCUGUCUGGCACAUACCAAUGCACAAAUAAGCUUAGCAAAUGUUUUUGUUUUUUAACUAGAUGAAGAUAAGUCUCUCCAGUGGUAUAUUUUUCUUUAGGAAAAAAAUAUCAGUACAUGCUUUUAACAUAAACCUGAAUCUAACUUCUAUAUAAUAAUGGACAAGAUAAGACUCCAGAAAUAUUUUAGAAUUUUCUUAGAUGAGCUCUCAAUCUGUGUUAAAACAGGUAAAACCUUUUACUAUAGACUGAGAAGGAAGAGAAAGGAAAAAAAAUGGCCUAUUUAAACAAUGAGGAAUAUAUAUAUAUAUAUUUGUCAGUAUCUUAAAGAGGCUUUUCUUAUACAAACAGGAGUAUUUGCUGGUCAGUGCCCAGAUUUUUUUUUCUUUUGAUGUACAUUAAAAAAAUUAAAAGAAAUAUUCUUAGAAAGACAUCUGUGCCUGGGGUGACUCACAUUUGAUCAAUCCCUGUGAACUGAGCUUUUCAGGGGAUGUGCAAUUAUUUGCUCAGUUAGGCUUAAACUUUUUAUUUAUCUAAUCACCCCUCUGUAAUGCUUUGAUCUGAACUUCCAAGGCCUAUUUUUCAACCACUUUAGCUACAUAUUUUAAGUCUUAUAGUCUAAUCAACCCUAGCCCAUAAAACAUGCAAUGUCCUGUUUAAUGCCUCCUAUUAGGAAAUCAGCUGCCACAUGGAUUUUGUAAUCUCCCACUUUGUGACUGGGUGAGCUGUUUGGAAGUGUCAUUAAUGUCAUUAUUCCAGGAGAGCGAGAGAGAGCCAGCAGCCAAGUGCAUCCCCUGUAUCCCAGCUGGCUUCUCCUUGCUAACGUUUGCCGAGUGACUCAGAGGUGAAUCAUCGGUUUCUGCAGGUGUAAGCUUGGGAGUCCUGGAAGUCUUCCACAUCCCAGUGGGGGCAAAUGUUUACCUCAUUAAUUCAUGGGAUUACUCAGUAGUUCCAGCCAACUUAAUUUGACUGUAUAAUAGUUAAAAAUAUGUGUGUGUAUGUGUGUGUGUGUGUGUGCAUAUUUACUUAUAGCCCAGGAGUGUGCUACAGCUUAGAAAUUUAAAGGUAAAACCUGUCAUUGAAUAAUUAGAAAAUGUUGUGUUUAUUUGAAACAUUUAGAAAAAAAAAUUCUAUGUAUGUCAUUUUACUGUAACAUAUACACUUGGUAAUGAUAUUUCUCACUUUUCUCUCUGUGCUUGGAUAUAUGUGAGGGACUGAGGUCCAUAACAGUUGGUGAAUUAGCCCACUCUAAUUCCUUUCCCAGCCUUGGGGCUUAUUUAGUUGAAUGUUGUCAGAAACCUUAGCCUUCAGAGACUUUUUUCUUUUCAAAGGACACUCAAUUUUUGGUUGUAAAAACAAAAAAGUAAAUAUAAAUAUAUUUCUUCACUUUAUUCAUCUCUGAACAAAUCUUGCUUUUACAUCUUAGUAGUGCCUAAUGAAGAUAACAACCAUCAACUAAAUUAGUAAGAUUUAAGAAUAUAAAAAUAUAGUUACAGCGCCAAUUUGCUGAAAAUUAAUGGUCAUUAAUCAAGACCUAUGAUGCAAUAGCUAAUAAUUGAUUUCCUCCUAUGUUCUAGCACAAUGUAAAAUGCUUUACAAAUACUAAUUUAUUUAAUUAUUAGAACACCCUACAACAUUGGUACUCUUAUUGUCUGCAUUUUACAGAUGAGAAACUCCAGGCAGAGAGAGGUUAGCCAGCUUGCCUAAGGUCACACACAGAUAAUACAUGAUGAAGCCGGCAUUUAAAUCCAGACAGUCUGACCUUAGAACCUGAAUUAUAAAACACUAUGUUAUUAUGGUCUAAUGACAAAUUUUUAAAAAACACAGAAGAAUCUAUGCAUGUAAAUGAAUCCAGUCCAUCUUAAAGUAGCCACCUAUGUAUGCUCUAUACUUAUUUCAAAUUUUGCUGUGGCUUAACACUUCCAGAACUCUCUCUUUUCUUUCAUUUCUAAAAAAAUUCUUGUGGAAACUAUGCCUUGUUGGUCUAAAUAUCACCAGUAAAAGCUUCACUCUUUGAAGUUGAAUUUGAUUUUGGAAAUAGUUGAAAGUGAUUCAAAACUCAGGUUGGUGAAGAGAGGAGGAAUCAAGUUUGGUAAGAUCACUAUAAGUUAAACUGUCUCUAAAUAUAAUUUUCAAGCAGGGAUUCUAGAAUUCCAAAAAUAUUUUGUGUAAUGGUAGCAUCAUUAAAAUAAAUGGAAAGCCUGCAAAGGUCAUUCUGAAGAGCGUUAGAAAGACAGAGAACAGUAGCAUAGAAGUUUCUGCUACAGUGAUUCAUCCUCUAAACAUAUGAAACCAUCCUAUUAGGUCACAAUUCAAUAGAUGCUAUUUGACUACCUGACCUGUUAGAAGCCCCUUUCAAUUCUUCUGUAUCCAAAUUUAUAUAGGGGACAUUAUCGGUCAAGACCCUGGUGAGAGAGUGACACAAAAUGGGUAAUUGAGGAGAGUUAAAUAAAGAAACAGUUUACAGGGUUAUAAGCAGGAUUUGUGGAAACCAAUAACAGAAAGUGCAAAUCCCUGGAUAGGCAGCAUGGAGGCACCAUCAUGCCCCUCAGCCUGAAGGGGCGCAAGGAGAGGAGCAGGGGCAAGAACCAGGGAGGGCUGCUGCUGUGAACAGGGCUGCAUGCAAGGGCCUGCAUUGGGGGAGGCAGCCAGCCCAUGUCAACCAAACGUAGGGGGGAGUCAGCUCAGAGCAAAUACCCCAUCUCACUCUCCUCCUGCCCUCUGAACUCCUGCUACUGCCCCACAGACCAAACCCAACCAGAACACACAGCAAAGAGCCAGCCUGUUGUCACAUGCCACAGAGAUUACCUUUUGGGAGCACACAGUGGGGUCAAGCCUGCCUUCUCUCUGGUUCUCACCUUUCCUAGAGGAGAGGAACUGACGCAUGGUAAAGACAUUUCAUAUACAAAUUUCAGUUACCCAACUGGCCUAGGAAAGGGAGGAGAGGAAGAAUCUGACAUUUAUUGACAGUUUUUACAUUUAGUGAGUACUUACUAUGUACCCAAUGUGCCAGGUGUUUUACUUAUGUUAAAAAUGAAGAUGCAUUAUGUGAAGAGAAUUUCACUUUACUUCUGUGGUUUCCCUCCCCUCACAAUUACAUUCUAAUUAUGAGAAAACAUCAGAUAAACCUUAUCUCUAUUGAGGGGCAUUCAAUAAAAUAUCUGAGCAGUAUUCCUCAAAACUGUUAAGGUCUUCAAAAAUAAAGAAUUCCGAGAAACUAUCACAACCAAUGGGAGCCUCAGGAGACAUGACCAACAAAUAUAAUAUGGUAUCCCUGAUGGGAUCCUGGAAAAGAAAACAGACAUUCGGUAAAAACUAUGGAAAUCUGGGCCGGGCGUGGUGGCUUACACCUGUAAUCCCAGCACUUUGGGGGGCCGAGGCAGGUGGAUCACCUGAGGUUUGGGAGUUCGAGGCCAGCCUGACCAACAUGGAGAAACCCCGUCUCUACUAAAAAUACAAAAUUAGCCUGGCGUGGUGGUGCAUGCCUGUAAUCCCAGCUACUCGGGAGGCUGGAGCAGAAGAAUCACUUGAACCGGGGAGGUGGGGGUUGUGGUGAGCCGAGAUCACACCAUUGCACUCUAGCCUGGGCAACAAGAGCGAACUCCAUCUCAAAAAGAAAAACAAAAAAACAAAACAAAACAAAAACUAUGGAAAUCUGAGUAAAGUGUGGGCUUUAGUUAAUAACAAUGUAUCAGUAUUGGUUGAUUAAUUGUGACAACUGUAUGUACUAAUGUAAGAUGUUAAUAAUGGUGUGGGGUGUAUGGAAACUCUCUUAUCUUUGCAAUAUUUCUGUAAAUCUAG